GAAAUUCAUCUGCAAGGCUUAAGGUAAAUCUAAAAUUAUCAGACAGAUAAAAUAGAUAGCAAAGGAUGAUCAGAAAAGAAGAUUUUACCUUUUGGGACAUCUAUGCUAUUUCAGAAGGACCAAUAGCAAGAAGGACAUCUAUACACUAAGGUUGCAAAUGCUCACGACACAUAAUAAAAGCAUUGCACACAACUUAUGAUAAAAACAUAUACAUGCUCAAUGCAAUGCAUCUAAAAGUAAAAAAAGUGGAUGUAUACGCUUGGAAGCACAAGCGAGAAGAAUUAAUGCACAUAUAAAUAGGCAUCAUCCAUCACAUAAAUGAAAGUCACCAAAAAUAAAAGCGUAAAACUGUGAAUGUUCCAAUGUUUCAAAUUCUAGUGGAAUUUUCAUUCAACGAACUGUGAGCAUUUGCAACCUUAAAAUGACAAGUAAAAUUUACUAUGAUACUCAAAAAGUGCUACUUUAGCUAUAAAAGUAUGUUUAACAGCAACCAGCAGCGGUGGUUACGUUCGAGGAAUAAGGAAAAUUUAUUUCAGUAUGAAACUCGUUACUUACAGCAUUCGUUAGUACCUUUUCAUCAAAGGUUAUGCAAAAGUUUAGCAUCACGUGUUCUAUAACUAAUAUAGGCACAACUGUUUCUGAAAUUUAUAUGGAG
RNAcentral lists this unclassified non-coding RNA (655 nucleotides) under Hevea brasiliensis (rubber tree). The record is from RNAcentral. Lineage: Eukaryota; Viridiplantae; Streptophyta; Magnoliopsida; Malpighiales; Euphorbiaceae.